UCCUACGGGGGGCAGCAGUGGGGGAUAUUGCACAAUGGGGGAAACCCUGAUGCAGCGACGCCGCGUGAGUGAAGAAGUAUUUCGGUACGUAAAGCUCUAUCAGCAGGGAAGAAUAAUGACGGUACCUGACUAAGAAGCCCCGGCUAACUACGUGCCAGCAGCAGCGGUAAUACGUAGGGGGCAAGCGUUAUCCGGAUUUACUGGGUGUAAAGGGAGCGUAGACGGCGGUGCAAGUCUGAAGUGAAAUGCCGCGGCGCAACACCGGAUCUGCU
Molecule: ribosomal RNA, 272 nt
Filed under: uncultured bacterium
Lineage: Bacteria
Description: partial 16S ribosomal RNA
Rfam family: Bacterial small subunit ribosomal RNA
Source: RNAcentral